UCUCCGUUGGUGAACCAGCGGAGGGAUCAUUGCUGGAACUGUGUCCGCAAGGACACAACCCCAGAUACCCUUUGUGAACCAACGCGUGGGCCGAGUACGGGUUCAUACCCCGAAGGCUCGCGAUCUUCUUUUUAUACAUAUAUACCCCCGAGAAAGUCUCAGAAUGUGCACUGCGUUAACUCGCAUAAAUACAACUUUCAGCAACGGAUCUCUUGGCUCUCGCAUCGAUGAAGAACGCAGC
This 241-nucleotide unclassified non-coding RNA is filed under the name uncultured fungus. RNAcentral's name for it is "sequence contains ITS1, 5.8S rRNA gene". The stretch from base 193 to 241 matches the Rfam family "5.8S ribosomal RNA", at positions 1 to 49 of the family's 154-position model. Lineage: Eukaryota; Fungi. The record is from RNAcentral.